CGCCCCCGCCCGCCUACGGGAGGCAGCAGUGGGGAAUAUUGGACAAUGGGGGAAAGCCUGAUUCAGCCAUGCCGGGUGUAUGAAGAAGGUCUUCGGGUUGUAAAGCACUUUAAGUUGGGAGGAAGGGAAUUAUGUUAAUACUUUGAUGUUUUGACGUUUCCCACAGAAAAAGCCCCGGCUAAAUUUGUGCCCGCCGCCGGGGUAAUACGGAGGGGGCAAGGGUUUAUUGGAAUUUCUGGGGGUAAAGGGGGGGUAGGGGGUUUUUUAAGUUGGAUGUGAAAUCCCCGGGCUUAACCUGGGAAAUGCAUUUAAAAAUGGCGAGUUUGAGUUUGGUAGGGGGUGGUGGAAUUUCCGGUGUAGGGGUGAAAUGUGUAGAAAUUGGGAGGAACCCCCGUGGGGAAGGGGGCCCCCUGGACUAAUAAUGACCGUGAGGUGGGAAAGGGUGGGGAGCAAACAGGAUUAAAUACCCUGGUAGUCCCCCCCGUAAACGAUGUCGACUAGCCGUUGGGAUCCCUGAGAUCUCAGUGCCGCAGC
This 534-nucleotide ribosomal RNA is filed under the name uncultured Pseudomonas sp. RNAcentral's name for it is "partial 16S ribosomal RNA". It matches the Rfam family "Bacterial small subunit ribosomal RNA", at positions 327 to 852 of the family's 1533-position model. The record is from RNAcentral. Lineage: Bacteria; Pseudomonadati; Pseudomonadota; Gammaproteobacteria; Pseudomonadales; Pseudomonadaceae.